RNAcentral lists this ribosomal RNA (497 nucleotides) under uncultured bacterium. RNAcentral describes it as "partial 16S ribosomal RNA". It matches the Rfam family "Bacterial small subunit ribosomal RNA", at positions 28 to 507 of the family's 1533-position model. The record is from RNAcentral.
GAUGAACGCUGGCGGCGUGCCUAAUACAUGCAAGUCGAGCGAACAGACGAGGAGCUUGCUCCUCUGACGUUAGCGGCGGACGGGUGAGUAACACGUGGAUAACCUACCUAUAAGACUGGGAUAACUUCGGGAAACCGGAGCUAAUACCGGAUAAUAUAUUGAACCUCAUGGUUCAAUAGUGAAAGACGGUUUUGCUGUCACUUAUAGAUUGAUCCGCGCCGCAUUAGCUAGUUGGUAAGGUAACGGCUUACCAAGGCAACGAUGCGUAGCCGAACUGAGAGGGUGAUCGGCCACACUGGAACUGAGACACGGUACAGACUACUACGGGAGGAAGCAGUAGGGAAUCUUCCGAAAUGGGCGAAAGCAUGACGGAGCAACGUCGCGUGAGUGAUGAAGGUCUUCGGAUCGUAAAACUCUGUUAUUAGGGAAGAACAAAUGUGUAAGUAACUAUGCACGUCUUGACGGUAACUAAUCAGAAAGCCACGGCUAACUACGUG